RNAcentral lists this non-coding RNA (28 nucleotides) under Mus musculus (house mouse). The record is from RNAcentral. Lineage: Eukaryota; Metazoa; Chordata; Mammalia; Rodentia; Muridae.
UAACAGUUGUCCUGGGCAGAUAAGAUAC